RNAcentral lists this ribosomal RNA (461 nucleotides) under Streptococcus sp. oral taxon C65. Its description in RNAcentral is "bacterial SSU rRNA". It matches the Rfam family "Bacterial small subunit ribosomal RNA", at positions 28 to 471 of the family's 1533-position model. The record is from RNAcentral. Lineage: Bacteria; Bacillati; Bacillota; Bacilli; Lactobacillales; Streptococcaceae.
GACGAACGCUGGCGGCGUGCAUAAUACAUGCAAGUAGAACGCUGAAGAGAGGAGCUUGCUCUUCUUGGAUGAGUUGCGAACGGGUGAGUAACGCGUAGGUAACCUGCCUUGUAGCGGGGGAUAACUAUUGGAAACGAUAGCUAAUACCGCAUAACAAUGGAUGACACAUGUCAUUUAUUUGAAAGGGGCAAUUGCUCCACUACAAGAUGGACCUGCGUUGUAUUAGCUAGUAGGUGAGGUAACGGCUCACCUAGGCAACGAUACAUAGCCGACCUGAGAGGGUGAUCGGCCACACUGGGACUGAGACACGGCCCAGACUCCUACGGGAGGCAGCAGUAGGGAAUCUUCGGCAAUGGGGGCAACCCUGACCGAGCAACGCCGCGUGAGUGAAGAAGGUUUUCGGAUCGUAAAGCUCUGUUGUAAGUCAAGAACGAGUGUGAGAGUGGAAAGUUCACACUGUG